AUGGCGUCCUCCGGGAGCGCUUCUUGGGUUACACUUGCGCUGCUCCUCUUCAUCACUCUGGCUGCGACCGCCAAUGGCGACGAGCUCUCCACAAGUUACUAUGAGAAGACGUGCCCCAACGUGCAGCACGUCGUGCGGUCAGUGAUGGCGAGCAGCGUCGCCGCCCAGCCGAGGAUGGCGCCCGCCGUCCUCCGCCUCUUCUUCCACGACUGCUUCAUCAACGGAUGUGAUGCUUCUGUUCUCCUGGACACAGCUCCCUUCUCCGCCAGCGAGAAGGAUGUAGAGCCGAACGCCUCCCUCACCGGCUACACCGUCAUCGACGACAUCAAGUCGCACUACUGCCCGGCAACCGUCUCCUGCGCUGAUGUUAUCGCCCUGGCGUCCCGCGACGCCAUCGCCCUGCUCGGAGGUCCCACCUGGAGCGUGCCCCUCGGCCGCAAGGACUCACGCUUCGCCGCCAACCCGGAGUCCACCGAGAAGGGCCUCCCGAGCCCACACGACAUCCUCGGCGAGCUCGUCACCAUGUUUUCAAGGCUCAACCUCGACGCGCGUGACAUGACCGCGCUCUCCGAUGCCCACACCGUCGGGAUGGCCGACUGCAUGCACUACAGCGACCGCGUCUACAGCACCGACCGCGAUGAGGAGAUCGACCCAUCCUUCGCGCAGACCAUGCAGCUUAUGUGCCAGGGUCCUUCCGGUAAGGCGCCGUUUGACGUGCAAACUCCGAUGAGGUUUGACAACGCUUACUACCGCAACCUUAUCGCGCGGCGCGGCCUCCUCACCUCCGACCAGACUCUCUACGGCGGUGGAGGCCUGCAGGACAAUCUCGUGGAGAUGUACAGCACCGAUGGUGAAGCAUUUGCGAGGGACUUCGCCAAGGCCAUGGUGAAGAUGGGAAACGUACCUCCACCCAUGGGAAUGCCCGUGGAGGUGAGGCUCAAGUGCUCAACGGCCAACUAUUGA
This 963-nucleotide ribosomal RNA is filed under the name Triticum aestivum (bread wheat). RNAcentral describes it as "partial small subunit ribosomal RNA". The record is from RNAcentral. Lineage: Eukaryota; Viridiplantae; Streptophyta; Magnoliopsida; Poales; Poaceae.